AGAGUUUGAUCAUGGCUCAGAACGAACGCUGGCGGCGUGCUUAACACAUGCAAGUCGAGUGCGCGUCUGUAGCAAUACAGAUGGCGCACGGCGCACGGGUGCGUAACACGUGGGCAAUCUGCCCUUCGAUGGGGAAUAUCUUCGGGAAACCGAAGCGAAUUCCGCAUAACAUUCCUUGGACUUCGGUUUGGGGACUCAAAGCCGUAAGGCGUCGAAGGAGGAGCCCGCGCACGAUUAGCUAGUUGGUAGGGUAACGGCCUACCAAGGCUUUGAUCGUUAGCUGGUCUGAGAGGAUGGCCAGCCACACUGGAACUGAGACACGGUCCAGACUCCUACGGGAGGCAGCAGUGGGGAAUCUUGCACAAUGGGCGAAAGCCUGAUGCAGCGACGCCGCGUGGGGGAUGAAGCAUCUCGGUGUGUAAACCCCUUUCGACCCGGAAGAAUGCCUCGCAAGAGGACUGACGGUACGGGUAUAAGAAGCCCCGGCUAACUACGUGCCAGCAGCCGCGGUAAGACGUAGGGGGCCAGCGUUGUUCGGAAUUACUGGGUGUAAAGGGUUCGUAGGCGGUGCGGCAAGUUGGGAGUGAAAUCUCUGGGCUCAACCCAGAGGCUGCUUCCAAAACUGCUGUGCUUGAGUGUGGGAGGGGCGCGUGGAAUUGCAGGUGUAGCGGUGAAAUGCGUAGAUAUCUGCAGGAACACCCGUGGCGAAAGCGGCGCGCUGGACCACUACUGACGCUGGGGAACGAAAGCUAGGGGAGCAAACAGGAUUAGAUACCCUGGUAGUCCUAGCCCUAAACGAUCAGGACUUGGGGUGCCACCCGUUCGGGUGUCGUCCCGGAGCUAACGCGUUAAGUCCUGCACCUGGGGAGUACGGUCGCAAGACUGAAACUCAAAGGAAUUGACGGGGGCCCGCACAAGCGGUGG
Molecule: ribosomal RNA, 924 nt
Filed under: uncultured bacterium
Lineage: Bacteria
Description: bacterial SSU rRNA
Rfam family: Bacterial small subunit ribosomal RNA
Source: RNAcentral